RNAcentral lists this long non-coding RNA (206 nucleotides) under Lathyrus oleraceus (garden pea). RNAcentral's name for it is "Pisum sativum (pea) long non-coding RNA (PSAT_LNC011560)". Lineage: Eukaryota; Viridiplantae; Streptophyta; Magnoliopsida; Fabales; Fabaceae. The record is from RNAcentral.
CAUCAUCCACCCAUAGUGUUGACUUUCCACUUUUAAGAACUCCCAGACUCUUCUGGACUUUUCUGCUCCAUCAUCUUGUAUUCCCAACUCGUUCGUACUUCACGGAGGCUGAACUCUUGGGAUUCAUACAUACUUUCCAAUCAUCAGACUUUGAAGAGUCUUCUUGAUUAACUUUCCAGGAUCGUCAUCGUAAUCCUUCACCGUCU